This 512-nucleotide ribosomal RNA is filed under the name uncultured bacterium. RNAcentral describes it as "bacterial SSU rRNA". It matches the Rfam family "Bacterial small subunit ribosomal RNA", at positions 997 to 1509 of the family's 1533-position model. The record is from RNAcentral.
UUAGCAGAGAUGCUUUGGUGCCUUCGGGAACUCUGAGACAGGUGCUGCAUGGCUGUCGUCAGCUCGUGUUGUGAAAUGUUGGGUUAAGUCCCGCAACGAGCGCAACCCUUAUCCUUUGUUGCCAGCGGCUCGGCCGGGAACUCAAAGGAGACUGCCGGUGAUAAACCGGAGGAAGGUGGGGAUGACGUCAAGUCAUCAUGGCCCUUACGGCCAGGGCUACACACGUGCUACAAUGGCGCAUACAAAGAGAAGCGACCUCGCGAGAGCAAGCGGACCUCACAAAGUGCGUCGUAGUCCGGAUUGGAGUCUGCAACUCGACUCCAUGAAGUCGGAAUCGCUAGUAAUCGUAGAUCAGAAUGCUACGGUGAAUACGUUCCCGGGCCUUGUACACACCGCCCGUCACACCAUGGGAGUGGGUUGCAAAAGAAGUAGGUAGCUUAACCUUCGGGAGGGCGCUUACCACUUUGUGAUUCAUGACUGGGGUGAAGUCGUAACAAGGUAAGCGUAGCGAG